This 497-nucleotide ribosomal RNA is filed under the name uncultured bacterium. RNAcentral's name for it is "partial 16S ribosomal RNA". It matches the Rfam family "Bacterial small subunit ribosomal RNA", at positions 28 to 507 of the family's 1533-position model. The record is from RNAcentral.
GAUGAACGCUGGCGGCGUGCCUAAUACAUGCAAGUCGAGCGAACGGACGAGGAGCUUGCUCCUCUGACGUUAGCGGCGGACGGGUGAGUAACACGUGGAUAACCUACCUAUAAGACCGGGAUAACUUCGGGAAACCGGAGCUAAUACCGGAUAAUAUAUUGAACCGCAUGGUUCAAUAGUGAAAGACGGUUUUGCUGUCACUUAUAGAUGGAUCCGCGCCGCAUUAGCUAGUUGGUAAGGUAACGGCUUACCAAGGCAACGAUGCGUAGCCGACCUGAGAGGGUGAUCGGCCACACUGGAACUGAGACACGGUCCAGACUCCUACGGGAGGCAGCAGUAGGGAAUCUUCCGCAAUGGGCGAAAGCUUGACGGAGCAACGCCGCGUGAGUGAUGAAGGUCUUCGGAUCGUAAAACUCUGUUAUUAGGGAAGAACAAAUGUGUAAGUAACUAUGCACGUCUUGACGGUACCUAAUCAGAAAGCCACGGCUAACUACGUG